AAGGAUUUAAGUUAAAAAAACUAUUAACCUUCAAAGUUAAAAAUAGAUUUUGUCUAAGCCUUA
Molecule: transfer RNA, 63 nt
Filed under: Chrysodinopsis sp. EMHAU-1507081
Lineage: Eukaryota; Metazoa; Arthropoda; Insecta; Coleoptera; Chrysomelidae
Description: tRNA-Trp
Source: RNAcentral